This 476-nucleotide ribosomal RNA is filed under the name uncultured bacterium. RNAcentral's name for it is "bacterial SSU rRNA". It matches the Rfam family "Bacterial small subunit ribosomal RNA", at positions 43 to 524 of the family's 1533-position model. The record is from RNAcentral.
CAGGCCUAACACAUGCAAGUCGAACGGUGUCUAGCAAUAGGCAUAGUGGCGCACGGGUGCGUAACACGUAACUAACCUACCCACCAUUGGGGGAUAGCCCGCCGAAAGGCGGAUUAAUACCGCAUGAGAUAAUAAGGUGGCAUCACCUAGUUAUUAAAGAUUUAUCGGGUUUGGAUGGGGUUGCGGGUCAUUAGCUAGUUGGUAAGGUAAUGGCUUACCAAGGCGACGAUGACUAGGGGAGCUGAGAGGCUGGUCCCCCACACGGGCACUGAGAUACGGGCCCGACUCCUACGGGAGGCAGCAGUAGGGAAUAUUGGGCAAUGGGCGAGAGCCUGACCCAGCCAUGCCGCGUGCAGGAAGAAGGCUUUCUGAGUCGUAAACUGCUUUUGAUAGGGAAGAAUGACCAGUACGUGUACUGGGAUGACGGUACCUACAGAAUAAGCACCGUCUAACUCCGUGCCAGCAGCCGCGGUAAU